CGGGGUGAGUAACGCGUGGGUAACCUGCCUUGUACUGGGGGACGAACAGUUGGAAACGACUGCUAAUACCGCAUAAGCGCACAGCUUCGCAUGAAGCAGUGUGAAAAACUCCGGUGGUACAAGAUGGACCCGCGUCUGAUUAGCUGGUUGGUGAGGUAACGGCCCACCAAGGCGACGAUCAGUAGCCGGCCUGAGAGGGUGAACGGCCACAUUGGGACUGAGACACGGCCCAA
Molecule: ribosomal RNA, 233 nt
Filed under: uncultured bacterium
Lineage: Bacteria
Description: partial 16S ribosomal RNA
Rfam family: Bacterial small subunit ribosomal RNA
Source: RNAcentral